UCCGGUUUGGCACCGGCAGUCUCCGAUGAGUCCCCGACAUAACUCGCUGGCAACAUCGGACAGGGGUUGCGCUCGUUGCGGAACUUAAUCCAACACCUCACGGCACGAGCUGACGACAACCAUGCACCACCUGUGCAGGGCCCCGAAGGACACCGUAUCUCUACGGCUUUUCCCUGCAUGUCAAGCCCAGGUAAGGUUCUUCGCGUUGCCUCGAAUUGAACCACAUGCUCCACCGCUUGUGCGGGCCCCCGUCAAUUCCUUUGAGUUUCAGCCUUGCGGCCGUACUCCCCAGGCGGGGCACUUAAUGCGUUAGCGCCGGCACCCAGGGGGUCGCUCCCCCAGGCACCUAGUGCCCAUCGUUUACGGCGUGGACUAC
RNAcentral lists this unclassified non-coding RNA (376 nucleotides) under uncultured bacterium. Its description in RNAcentral is "contains 16S-23S intergenic spacer region". The record is from RNAcentral.